GUCCCGGGUGUGGAAGUCCCGCCCCGCAGGGUCGGCGGCGGAGGGGCCCCGACCGGAGGGCCGGGGAGAACCUCCCUUACCUGCUGAAUCCCCCAGGGGCGGAAGUCAGCAAGGGUAGGCAGGACGCACGGCGCUUGCGGAAAGCGGGAUGGAGCCUGAGGGGCCGGUCAACGGUGUGCAGGGGAAGGCGUCCACCUUCGACGCGCCCGCCG
This 212-nucleotide signal recognition particle RNA is filed under the name Hadesarchaea archaeon. RNAcentral's name for it is "partial signal recognition particle sRNA". It matches the Rfam family "Archaeal signal recognition particle RNA". The record is from RNAcentral. Lineage: Archaea; Methanobacteriati; Hadarchaeota (SeqCode); Hadarchaeia (SeqCode).